AUACGUAGGGUGCGAGCGUUAAUCGGAAUUACUGGGCGUAAAGCGAGCGCAGACGGUUACUUAAGCAGGAUGUGAAAUCCCCGGGCUCAACCUGGGAACUGCGUUCUGAACUGGGUGACUAGAGUGUGUCAGAGGGAGGUAGAAUUCCACGUGUAGCAGUGAAAUGCGUAGAGAUGUGGAGGAAUACCGAUGGCGAAGGCAGCCUCCUGGGAUAACACUGACGUUCAUGCUCGAAAGCGUGGGUAGCAAACAGGAUUAGAUACCCUGGUAGUCCACGCCCUAAACGAUGUCAAUUAGCUGUUGGGCAACUUGAUUGCUUAGUAGCGUAGCUAACGCGUGAAAUUGACCGCCUGGGGAGUACGGUCGCAAGAUUAAA
Molecule: ribosomal RNA, 376 nt
Filed under: uncultured bacterium
Lineage: Bacteria
Description: bacterial SSU rRNA
Rfam family: Bacterial small subunit ribosomal RNA
Source: RNAcentral